UUUGUUGGCUUUCUGAUACCAGAGGUAAUGAUUAAUAGGGACAACUGGGGGCAUUCGUAUUGCGACGUUAGAGGUGAAAUUCUUGGAUCGUCGCAAGACGGACUAAAGCGAAAGCAUUUGCCAAAGGUGUUUUCAUUAAUCAAGAACGAAAGUUAGAGGUUCGAAGGCGAUUAGAUACCGCUGUAGUUCUAACCAUAAAUGAUGCCAGCCAGCGAUCCGCCGAAGUUUCAUUAUUUUAACUCGGUGGGCAGCUCCCGGGAAACCAAGCUWUCGGGCUCCGRRGGA
Molecule: ribosomal RNA, 285 nt
Filed under: Mystacopsyche longipilosa
Lineage: Eukaryota; Metazoa; Arthropoda; Insecta; Trichoptera; Philorheithridae
Description: partial 18S small subunit ribosomal RNA
Rfam family: Eukaryotic small subunit ribosomal RNA
Source: RNAcentral